This 4473-nucleotide ribosomal RNA is filed under the name Triticum aestivum (bread wheat). RNAcentral describes it as "partial small subunit ribosomal RNA". Lineage: Eukaryota; Viridiplantae; Streptophyta; Magnoliopsida; Poales; Poaceae. The record is from RNAcentral.
GAAUCCGCUGCGGGGAGUAGAAAAACAACUAGCUCAAAGCCAGCGACCGGGCUAGAGAAUUUCCAACCUCCAAUCCAAGCCUCGCCCUCUUCUCGCCUCGUCUCCCUCCCAGCAAGUAGUAGUAGCCUCCGAUUCCCUCCUCCCGCCGCCUCGUCAGAUCUGCGCCACCGCGCCGCCUCCCCGUCAAUCCGUCGUCCUUAUCCCGCCCGCCAGCCGAGGAGUGGCGGCCGCCGCUUGGUUUCUUCCGUCCGGGGCUGGCGCUAUCGGCGGCGGAGGCUGCCGGGCCUUUUCCGGACCAGCAAAUGGUUCCGGAGCUGGGGCUUGGAGGCUUCCGGUUCGGUGUGGUCUGCUGAUUGGGCCCAGCCGGGGUACGGUUGGCUCUGCCGGCUUGAAUUGGAGGUUCUGAGCUAGACUGAAUUUUGUUUCGUCGGAGGAGCUGAUUUGGUGAAGUUGUUUCAGGCGGCGACUGAUUCUUGGGGACUUCUUCAUCCGUCAGAAAACAGGACUUCUGCAGCUGCUUCGGUUGCCUUUUCCUCCAAAGGAGUGGAUAAGUAUCUGGAACCAAUCGAGGCAGCAAAGCCAUGGAUGUGCCUAUGCCUUCACAGUCCAACCGCGCUGGAUGCAAUGGAAGCGUCGGCAGCCCGUCGGAUGAUCCAUAUGGCGUUACAGCCAUGAUGAACUUUGAUGGGUACUCAGAGCUCUGCGGCAGCCCUUCAUUAGCUGACCAGCUGUUCUCGUUGCUGAACGAUUCGUCCACACACCAGAUGUUUGCUAUGUGGUCAUCCUUGGGAUCUUCGCCACGUGCUUCUGGUGUCAGUGAAGAUAUGCAGCUCGAUGCCUAUUCCAGUGUACCUGGGGAUCAAAAGGUUGAUUUGGUAUCUUCAGUGAAUCCAGCUGAAACUGGGACUGGGAGAAUGGCCAAGAGUUCAGGCGACCUUGGCUCAGAUGGUGAUCCUGAGCAAGGAAGUACUAGUUUGGUUCCGAGGCCUAUUGCCGGCAACUUACUCGCUGACAGGAUGCUCAUGGCUCUGUCUUUGUUCAGGAAGUCACUUGGCGGCGGCGUUCUUGCGCAGGUCUGGAUGCCUGUUGAGCAGGAGGGGCAUGUCGUGCUUAGUACAUGUGAACAGCCGUUUCUGCUUGACCAAGCUCUUGCUGGGUACAGAGAAGUAUCCAGGCAUUUUGUGUUCUCCGCUAAGGAGGAGACCGGCCUUCAACCAGGGCUUCCAGGGAGGGUCUUCAUCUCCGGUGUGCCAGAAUGGACCUCAAAUGUGCUCUACUACAGCAAGCCAGAGUAUCUGAGGAUGGAGUAUGCUCUUCAUCACGACGUUCGAGGAUCACUUGCUAUGCCGAUAUACGACCCCAGCAAGGGCUCUUGCUGUGCAGUGCUUGAGCUUAUCACAAAGAAGGAGAAACCUGACUUUGCUGCAGAAAUGGACAACCUUCGCCAUGCCUUGCAGGCUGUGAACUUGGAGACAGCAAAGGAUUGCAUUGAUCAGAAGGUUUAUUCAGCAAAUCAGAAAGCCGCUUUCACUGAGAUUUUGGAUGUUCUAAGAGCUAUUUGCCAUGCACACAUGCUUCCGUUGGCCCUCACAUGGGUCCCUUCAUCAAAUGGCAGUGAUGGUGGUUAUGUUGGACAUGAUAGUGUCCUUGAUUCUCAGUCAGGAAAAACGAUACUCCGCAUCCAUGAAUCAGCGUGUUAUGUUAAUGAUGCAAAGAUGCAAGGAUUUUUUCAUGCAUGCACUGAAACUCACCUUGAGAAAGGGCAAGGUAUUGCAGGCCGAGCACUCAAGUCCAAUCUGCCGUUCUUCUCUCCCAAUAUCAGAGAAUACGGAAUUAAAGAUUACCCACUCGCACACCAUGCUCGUAAGUUUGGCCUGCAUGCUGCUGUAGCAAUCCGGCUAAGGAGCACAUACACCGGUGAUGAUGACUACAUACUAGAAUUCUUUCUACCAAUCAACUGCACAGGCAGUGAAGAACAACAGAUGUUAUUGAAUAACCUCUCCAGUACUAUGCAAAGAAUAUGCAAAAGUUUACGAACAGUUUCUGAAGCAGAGGUUGAUAAAGUUGAUGCUUGUACUGCAGUAAUGUAUAAGGCAACCAGUGGAAGUUGCUUGCCUACUGGUCAGUCUGAGAGUUCUUCGCGUGGUGAUCAACCAGCCACAGAAGAGGCAUUCCAGGAUCUAUCUUUAAUUGAUAAGCAACGGGGCAUGUCCGAGCAGUCUAGUACAAUGCGACUUGCGGAGAAAAAGCGCAGUACAGCUGAGAAGAAUAUUGGCAUGGAUGUUCUUCGUAAGUACUUCUCUGGGAGCCUAAAGGAUGCUGCAAAGAGCCUUGGUGUUUGUCCAACAACCUUAAAACGGAUAUGCCGCACACAUGGAAUUUCACGAUGGCCAUCUCGCAAGAUAAACAAGGUCAACCGUUCAUUAAAGAAGAUCCAAACUGUCAUUAACUCGGUUCAUGGAGUGGACAGUUCUUUGCAGUAUGAUCCUGCUACUGGAUCUCUUGUUCCAGCAGUUUCUCUGCCAGAGAAGACUUCAUUCCCUUCGUGUGAUGCUGUGUCCAGUCCAUCCGUUGGGAAAACUGUGGAUGAAAAAUCUGGCCCAAAAUCUGAGCAAGGGUAUUCGUCACCUGAAGGAUGGGAAAGAGAGAGUUGCCAGUUGCAGCGCCCUGAUGCGCAGAAAGGGGAAGGCGAUGAAUUUCACAUGCAGACAAGUAACUAUAGUGGCAGUGGUGAUCACGCCUCUUAUGGCUGCAUCGAACCUUCUGCCCGUGUCCUCCCAAGCAUCAAGACUACCAGGGACCAGAUAGUGGGAAGGAACUCACCGCCCGCACAACAAGCAGAUAUUGAUAUGUUUGACGACCGUGAAGGCAGGGAGCAUACUCAUCCUUCCACCUCUGGUAUGACAGACUCUUCUAGUGGCAGUGCAUCAAGCCACCCCACAUUUAAGAAGAACCCAGCACGUCCACUUAAAGACAAGAGCAGCCCUGCACUUACGGUCAAGGCAACGUACAACGGAGACACCGUGCGGUUCAAGUUCUUGCCAUCGAUGGGCUGGUACAACCUGCUGGAAGAAAUAGCCAAGAGGUUCAAGCUGUCGAUGGGGGUGUUCCAGCUCAAGUACAAGGACGACGAGGACGAGUGGGUCAUCAUGGCAAACGACUCUGAUCUCCAGGAGUGCGUCGACGUCAUGGACUCGAUGGGCACGCGCAACGUGAAGCUCCAGGUCCGGGAUCUCCCGUGCCUCAUCAGCAGCUCGGGCAGCAGCAGCUGCUUGCAGCUGGAAGGACACAAUUCAUAACACGGUGAGGAAGUUUAAAGAAGGAUCUUUUGUUGCCCUCAACUGUGUCAUACUGCGGUAGGUGUAGUCUACGCUGUGUAGCAACAGGGUUUGGUAGUCUGUACUGUACGCGUGUAGCGUGUUAUGUAGCGGCAAUGGCGAACAGGAAGUGUAGUGAUCGUCGUGCAGGCAUGACGGUGCAGGCACGAUGUCGUGCCUGUGACGAAACGGUGUCAUGGAGGUCCCUGAGAGGAUGUCAUGACAAUAAUCUGUUGUCAUGAGGGUCUGCGGUGCCUGGCUGCCAAUGUAUCGAAAACUCGAACUCCUGGCUGUGUUAUGCAUGCCGGAGGAAACCAAUGAAUGUUUCUGGACUUCCCCUGGUUCCAAAUUCUCUGUUUGUUUAAACAGGUGAAUUUUCCAGUUCCACAUUGGCUGUCAGGGACACAUAAACUGCUAGCUUAAAUCGGAUGGUUUUCCUAUGUAAUUUUGGUGAAACUCCUGGAUUUUUAAGCAGGACUGGCUGACAAUCUUAUUGCCUGUUCAAGCUCACCAUGGGAUGGAUAAUCUUUCAGGGAGGGCUGUUGCUUCUCUCCGCUCAACCAUGGAAUUCCAUCUGUUUUUCCUAUGCUGAGAUCGAGAUCGCCGUGCUUACAUGUGGAUGCGAAGCGAUUCGCGGUCGAUACCGGGCAAUCUCUUCUGCAGACACCCAAAUCUCCCAACAGCGACGAGUCGGCAGCAUGCCAUUUUGGACUUGCACGAUCAGAAGAUGGAACUGCUGGUUCCCAGUUUCCUGCAUGCACAGCAGCUGCCGGGUAUACUGUGGAGUUCUGUUGAUAGGAAAGCUACCGUUUGUACUGGACUGGAUCUCAAAGUCCAACCGAUAGGAACGUCACGCCAUUGAGCGUCUGGGGAGUCGAGUUGGCGGACAUGGAUGAACACGACGUGCUGGCGCGUCUCCGCGACCCGAAUCGGUGGUUGCGUUGUCAUUUCCUAGCGAAAGAGAUGCAGCCAACCAGCCGCGGUGCGGGAGAAACAGCUCCGAGGGCCAGGAGGUUUCGUCUUCAACAUGUGCUUGUUGCCUUGUUCCCGUUUGCUAGUGGCUGUUGAAAUUAGGUCGCCAUUCGGGUGACAUAUUGUUGCAUUGCAUCAGCAAAAACAAAAUCUGGGUUUUCUUUCGUUUAAUAUGAAUUCUGAG